This is a long non-coding RNA of Coffea eugenioides, 1088 nucleotides long. RefSeq lists it as uncharacterized. The transcript is spliced from 2 exons. The record is from RefSeq and is a predicted model, not a curated record. Lineage: Eukaryota; Viridiplantae; Streptophyta; Magnoliopsida; Gentianales; Rubiaceae.
UGGAGCGGUAUAGCAGUCCCAUUUUUUGUGAACGUUCGUGUGAUAGAUCUAUAGUCGCUCGAUUCUCCUAAGUUGUACCUGCAAUCCUAUGGGCAACUGUUCUUUCUCAUAAAUCAAGGAGCCUAUCAUAGGAGUCUUCCCACAACUGGGACAAGAUAGUAGAAGUAGCAGACCGAUCCACACUAGGAGUAGAGUAAUUGAUCACCUGUUCUACAGAUGGUCGAACAACAGAACUAGGGGUUCACCUGCACGUGGUUGAUUACUCUACUCCUGAUGCGGAUCGAUCGAUUAGCAAAAAUAGGGGUUCAUCACCUGCUCUUGGUCGACUACUCUACUCCAUGGAUCGGGUUCGCUAUUUCUAGCGAUCUAUUCUAAUCGAUUUGCUACUUCCAUCGAUAUAUCCUAUCCUGGGAAAACUCCUGUGAUGGAAUCCUCGAUUCUUCUUGCCUAUGCAACCUAAGAGGUCCAAACAAUUGCAGCUUGUACAAAAUCUACGAAGGAGGUCCAAACAAUUGUAGUUUGUACAAAAUCUACCACAUAGAAGAUUACACUGGAAAUGCGGCUCCUCUACCACUUCACGCGAUAAAGUUGUAGGGAUUUAAAGCAAAAAGUAAUUAAAAGGCGUGAUUUUUUACUGGAUCUGCUGUUCAGCGUAGGCACGUGGAAGUUUAACUUUUCCAUGUCCGGAGAUCUUGGGAGUUGAAGCGGAAGUUCCAGCCAUGAGUCGAAGUCUCGAAAGUCCGAUCACGGAUGCUUCAUCAUAUGAUCAUUGUUGAUCUUUUCGGAUAAGAUGAUUUGUUAGACCAAUUUGAUUUGGCUAACUAAUAGUAGUCUACUAAUAGUAGGAAACAUGCGGUAUUAUUGAUAGUAGAAGCUGAAUAGGAAACAAAAAGAGAGAAAAAGCCGGAUUCCUGUUUGAUUAGGAGUUGGCCAGCAACAAUUUCGGGAUGAAAUCUUUUGAAGUAUCAGGCCGUCACUUGUUUUUCGGCCGAGUCUUCUUUCAUUAGUCUUUAGGCAAAAAACCAAUUGUUAUCAAUGGAGUCCUACGGAUUUCCCUUGAAAAUGCGUAGCUAAAUCUCCAUUUUCUA